Long non-coding RNA from Gadus macrocephalus (Pacific cod), 1884 nucleotides. RefSeq lists it as uncharacterized. The transcript has 2 exons. NCBI's taxonomy places the organism in Eukaryota, Metazoa, Chordata, Actinopteri, Gadiformes, Gadidae. The record is from RefSeq and is a predicted model, not a curated record.
AAGGUAAGAGACAGCUUACUACCGUUUAUAUUGUCUUUAGGUAACUGGUAUAUAAUAAUGAUCAACCAGUUUACUACCGUUUAUAUCUGUUUUAUAGAGAAUACAUCUUAAUGUUUGUUGCAACUUAUAAUGUAAUAAAGACUCAUAAUGUAUUAACGGCUCAUAAUGUAAUCAUUUCAAUGUAUUAAAAGUUCAUAAUGUUAUAAUCGGCUCAUAAUGUAAUAAAAUCACGGACGCAUAACGUUAUAAGGGCUUUGCGCAUAAUGUAAUACUGUAAUAACUUAUUACAUUAAGAACCUUAUUGAUACCGCUCAUAAUGUUAUAACAGUUCAUAAUGUGAUAAUAGUACAUAUAGUGAGAAAAGUGUUGCAUUAUCAUAAUGCUUACUUCUGCCAUCCCUGCAGGAGUGGAAGGAAAUGCUUAAACCUGUGUCUGUCUCUCAGCAAGAUCACACAUUUCUGCAAACAUGCUGGAGCAUUAGCCAACUUAGAUGCCAUAUACUGAACCUCGCUCCCAAUAAGUGGCAGGCCUCAUAAAAAGGAAGAGAAGCCUUAUUCUUUAACGCAUCAUCCUCCAUAGGUAAAAUCCAUGGUAUAAAGGCAACAACUGUAAACACUGACAACUAAUGCACUUUUGGGCAGGGGUUUGUUAUUGAGUUUGACUAUGAUUUGUACAUAUGUUGCGCUACAGUAACCAACUCAAAAGCUGUCAGGAGAAGAGGUUGGAUUAGGGAAGAAGGAGGGGGACUGUAGUUCAUGUAUUUUAAUGUUCUUUGCUACAAUAACAUAACUACUGCAAUGAAAACACAUUUAAAAUGUUACUUUUCAAAAAAGUAAGUGAACACUCUUUCCUUCCAUACAACCUUACGAAGACCUUCCAAUAAAAACGUAGCAGUUUUUUUUUAUGGUCUUUAAUGCCAAUUUAAUAAAGGCAAUUUAAUAAACAUUAUUUUCCUACUACUUGAAAUACAUGAUACAAGCUGCAUAACAUGUCAAUUAAAACUUAUUUUAUUUUGGAACUUUUGAACAAUAACAAAAAAGUCAUCAAAAACUAUGUGAGUCUAGAACAGACAUAGGGAUGUCAUAGAAAACAUGAAACAGAUCAAAGGCUCUUUAAAUGUAAACACAGCCUGUCAGAACACAAAAGUAAAAAUAUAAGUCCAAAUAAAUGUAACUAAACAAUAUGCCUAUAAACAUGAUCAUAAAUUACAGCAAAUUAUAGUCAUAAAAUAAAGUCAAGGGGGCUCCAUUUGUCAGUGGUCAGUGACUGUGCCAGUGAUCACUCAAAUCACUUUAUUUCUUCCAAUGAAUGUCUUUAAUUUGGAACCAUCCAAAGGAUAUAUAUGUCGAAUCACGAUCCAUGCUGUAAUCCACCUGGCAUUUUGGCUGAAGAGCUGCCUGAUGUUGGAUGCAAGGCCACUAUUACGUCCAGCUGCUUUAUAUAACCUACAAAUACUAAUGCUGCAGUCUUCAUCCAUCACAAUAUUUAAACAUUCCACCAAAGAAUCACGUAUAAUUUUUUUUGGUAGGAAUGGCAGGGUUAGCUCUCUGAACAAGUUGGAAACUCUGUUGAAGGUGCCCAGCAUUGUCAUAUCCAUCAACAGGCAAUACUGGAUAAUGGUUGACAGUACAAUCAAAGGCAAAUUAGGGCUAGCAAUGAAGUCAGGGUCAGCAAGGAAGAUAUGUUUUGGCACUGUAGGACAUGCAGAAGGAACAGUAUCAGGGUCAGUGUAACGGACAGUGUGGAGGUCACCAUGUAGGACAUCAUUGGGAUCACCAUAAGGAACAUCACAUGAGUCACCAUGUAGGACAUCAUUGGGAUCACCAUAAGGAACAUCACAUGAGUCACCAUGUAGGACAUCAUUGGAAUCACCAUAAGGAACAU